UGCUAAUACCGGAUAACAACAGAUGAUGCCUAUCAACUGUUUAAAAGAAUGGUUCUGCUAUCACUCUUGGAUGGACCUGCGGUGCAUUAGCUAGUUGGUAGGGUAACGGCCUACCAAGGCGAUGAUGCAUAGCCGAGUUGAGAGACUGAUCGGCCACAUUGGGACUGAGACACGGCCCAACUCCUACGGGAGGCAGCAGUU
This 201-nucleotide ribosomal RNA is filed under the name uncultured Lactobacillus sp. RNAcentral's name for it is "partial 16S ribosomal RNA". It matches the Rfam family "Bacterial small subunit ribosomal RNA", at positions 161 to 355 of the family's 1533-position model. Lineage: Bacteria; Bacillati; Bacillota; Bacilli; Lactobacillales; Lactobacillaceae. The record is from RNAcentral.